UAAUAAUUACGAUUUUUUAUUUUUUUAUUUACUUAAAAUAUUGAUGCAUAUUUGUUGAUAUUAAGAUCAAACAAAAUAGAGAUGAUGGUGAUGUAGGGUGGUUCACCUUACUUAGAGUGAGGCAGAGAGUCAUUGUACAUGGUGGUUCGGUUGUGGAGUUGGCUAGAGAAGGAGGAAAAGAGGAGAGAGAGUGAGUUAGAGAGAGAGAGAGAGAGAGAG
RNAcentral lists this long non-coding RNA (219 nucleotides) under Gossypium raimondii (Peruvian cotton). RNAcentral's name for it is "long non-coding RNA (GRAI_LNC008140)". The record is from RNAcentral. Lineage: Eukaryota; Viridiplantae; Streptophyta; Magnoliopsida; Malvales; Malvaceae.